GAGUUUGAUCAUGGCUCAGGAUGAACGCUAGCGACAGGCUUAACACAUGCAAGUCGAGGGGCAGCGGGGGUGAUGGCUUGCCAUCACCUGCCGGCGACCGGCGCACGGGUGAGUAACACGUAUGCAACCUGCCCGCCACAGGGGGAUAAGCGGAAGAAAUUCCGUCUAAUACCGCGUGACGCGGCACCGGGGCAUCCCGGUGCCGCCAAAGGGAUUACCGGUGGCGGAUGGGCAUGCGGCGCAUUAGCUAGUCGGCGGGGUAACGGCCCACCGAGGCGACGAUGCGUAGGGGUUCUGAGAGGAAGGUCCCCCACACUGGUACUGAGACACGGACCAGACUCCUACGGGAGGCAGCAGUGAGGAAUAUUGGUCAAUGGGCGCGAGCCUGAACCAGCCAAGUCGCGUGAGGGAUGACGGUCCUACGGAUUGUAAACCUCUUUUGCCGGGGAGCAAGCGUGCGUUCGUGAACGCGCGUCGAGAGUACCCGGAGAAAAAGCAUCGGCUAACUCCGUGCCAGCAGCCGCGGUAAUACGGAGGAUGCGAGCGUUAUCCGGAUUUAUUGGGUUUAAAGGGUGCGUAGGCGGGAUGCCAAGUCAGCGGUAAAAAUGCGGUGCUCAACGCCGUCGAGCCGUUGAAACUGGCGUUCUUGAGUGGGCGAGAAGUAUGCGGAAUGCGUGGUGUAGCGGUGAAAUGCAUAGAUAUCACGCAGAACUCCGAUUGCGAAGGCAGCAUACCGGCGCCCUACUGACGCUGAGGCACGAAAGCGUGGGUAUCGAACAGGAUUAGAUACCCUGGUAGUCCACGCAGUAAACGAUGAAUGCUAACUGUCCGGUGCGAGUGAGCGCUGGGCGGUACAGCGAAAGCGUUAAGCAUUCCACCUGGGGAGUACGCCGGCAACGGUGAAACUCAAAGGAAUUGACGG
This 922-nucleotide ribosomal RNA is filed under the name uncultured bacterium. Its description in RNAcentral is "bacterial SSU rRNA". It matches the Rfam family "Bacterial small subunit ribosomal RNA", at positions 9 to 916 of the family's 1533-position model. The record is from RNAcentral.